CAUUUCAUGUAGGUAGAUGGGGAGUAGAAGGGAGAGUGCAUAACAAAACUAAUCUUACUAACCAUUGGCUUGCCUUUAAUUAAUUAUAAGAUCAAAUUAAUGUUAUGGUACUAUCCCAUGUGCCAACCUCACCUGCUCGCGCCAACAGCCGGCUGUUGGCGGCAGCGGCGUGGCUCACCGCGAGAAUGAGACGCUCCGCUGCGGUGCUCCCUGCUGUCUUACUGACGAGGCUCUGGCUUUAACUAAUAUUUAUGGCUGUCUUUUACUAACAUUGUAUGUCAUGUUAUAGAGCUUGCAGAUGGACUAACCAGGCUGGCAGUGUGUGGCAGCUAACUUGUUUAUAAAUGUGGAAACAUCUCAUUCACACAAAACACAGAUGAGCCGUGCAAUGCUUUGAUGUGUCUCUAAUUAUACAUCGAUGUAAACUCUAACAAUGCAUAGCCAAAUAUAAAUCUAAUUUUAAUAUGUUUUAUAUUACAGAUGACAAACGAUUUAUUAGUAAUAUCACUGUUUAUAUCUUAUCUGGAUAAGAUACUCAAUUAGACAUCAAGAUGACUGUCACUCGUACACUCAAAAGAUACUAAGAGUAUAGAAGCCAAAAGAGAAACUUGAGUGAUGCAAAAGUUAAAAUUGCUACGAUGGUGCUCACCACAUGUACUCGCAAGUCAAGUUCCUCAAGAUGAAGCAUUAAUAACGCAGCCCUGACAAAAUAAUGCAAAUUUGAAGAAUUCAUAAACAUAAAAGAACUAACUACUAAUUAAGGUAUAGACUAGAAGAAAUAAUAAAAAUUAAAAUGUAAUAUAAUACUUAGCUACCUACGUUUCGCUACUUCAUACUGAACUGAACCGGAGCCUGACAAUGCACCACACGACCUUUUUCUGAUUAUGUAAAACGCCAUGAAUAUAAUAGAAUUGAUCACAUCUCACAAGGAAGGAGGAGUGAUAUCGCCAAGAAGAAAUUACUGUCUCAAUGCGUAAAAUAUUACUCUACGAAGCAAGAAGGCUAAGAAUAAAGAAAGAAAAGAAGGCAAAACAUAAACGCAAGACGCAAAUAGUAGUUCACGACACGACAAGUUCAUCAGUAUCAUUGAAUUAUCGACAUUGGACUUGAAAUCUCAGUUGCAGUUCCGGCAUUGGAUUGACGACAGCAGUCAACUAUCGAUGAACACUGAUUUGAAGAUGCUUGACGUUCUACAGAGGAAGCAAGAAAAUAAUCAUUAGAGAUAUUUACAGAUUAAAACAUAGUAGUUAUGCACUUUUAUUCAAAUUAAUAUUGUUUACUGAUCAGUAAUAAUAACAUAACCCAAGACUUGUAGCAGCUUAUGCUGAACCUCAUCAUGGCUCUUUUGUUUUUUUUUUCUUUAUUUUUCAUUUUCUAAUAUUAAUUUAGUGAACAUAAAAUGCCAGCUACUCGGAUAUUUAGGUGACUUAAGACUGAUUUUUUAAUCG
This is a long non-coding RNA of Ostrinia nubilalis (European corn borer), 1448 nucleotides long. RefSeq lists it as uncharacterized. The transcript has 5 exons. The record is from RefSeq and is a predicted model, not a curated record. Lineage: Eukaryota; Metazoa; Arthropoda; Insecta; Lepidoptera; Crambidae.